CAAUAGCGUAUAUUAAAGUUGUUGCAGUUAAAAAGCUCGUAGUUGGGUUUCUGGGAGGGUGCCAAUGUCCGCCGACGUGCGUGCGCAGCGGCGCCCUUCCAUCCUUCUGUUAACGCCUCUUGGCAUUCAUUUGCUGGUGGCGGGCUCAGAUAUUUUACCUUGAGAAAAUUAGAGUGUUUCAGGCAGGCUAGGCCGGAAUACAUUAGCAUGGAAUAAUGGAAUAGGACUACGGUCUCUUUGUUGGUUUGAGGGACUGCAGUAAUGAUUAAUAGGGAUAGUUGGGGGCAUUAGUAUUUAAUUGUCAGAGGUGGAAUUCUCGGAUUUGUUAAAGACUAACUUAUGCGAAAGCAUUUGCCAAGGAUGUUUUCAUUAA
This 373-nucleotide ribosomal RNA is filed under the name uncultured eukaryote. Its description in RNAcentral is "partial 18S ribosomal RNA". It matches the Rfam family "Eukaryotic small subunit ribosomal RNA", at positions 592 to 976 of the family's 1831-position model. The record is from RNAcentral.